RNAcentral lists this ribosomal RNA (497 nucleotides) under uncultured bacterium. RNAcentral describes it as "partial 16S ribosomal RNA". It matches the Rfam family "Bacterial small subunit ribosomal RNA", at positions 28 to 507 of the family's 1533-position model. The record is from RNAcentral.
GAUGAACGCUGGCGGCGUGCCUAAUACAUGCAAGUCGAGCGAACAGACGAGGAGCUUGCUCCUCUGACGUUAGCGGCGGACGGGUGAGUAACACGUGGAUAACCUACCUAUAAGACUGGGAUAAUUUCGGGAAACCGGAGCUAAUACCGGAUAAUAUAUUGAACCGCAUGGUUCACUAGUGAAAGACGGUUUUGCUGUCACUUAUAGAUGGAUCCGCGCCGCAUUAGCUAGUUGGUAAGGUAACGGCUUACCAAGGCAACGAUGCGUAGCCGACCUGAGAGGGUGAUCGGCCACACGGGAACUGAGACACAGUCCAGACUCCUACGGGAGGCAGCAGUAGGGAAUCUUCCGCAAUGGGCGAAAGCUUGACGGAGCAACGCCGCGUGAGUGAUGAAGGUCUUCGGAUCGUAAAACUCUGUUAUUAGGGAAGAACAAAUGUGUAAGUAACUAUGCACGUCUUGACGGUACCUAAUCAGAAUGCCACGGCUAACUACGUG